GCUUGGAUGUAUGCAAUUUUGUGUAAUCUUUCAUCUGUAUGUAAUUGAAUAAUAAUGUUGAUUUUCAGCUACAAGGACCGAUUUCUUGCUGCUUUGCCAGCACCUCGCUGAGCAAGUGUUGACUUCAUUCGGCCUGUUUUCACAGCCACUGCAUUCUACUUGUGUGCAAAAAGACACAAGCUUAAAGUAGACAAGAUUAAGCUUAUUGAGCUCUGUGGCACAUCAGAAUCUGAAUUUACUAGUGUUUUCCUGCAUCAAUUUUCUCAUAAGAUGUUGCUUCUUGUGCAACAGAUUUUGUACAUGCAUGUUUCCAUUUUCACCAAGACACUAAGAAUAAAAGACAAACAACAGACGACUGUGACUCUAUAAUAGCCAAAAAGUUAGAGUGCCACCAAUUUUAUAGUUAGUAGAAGCAAAGGUGGAAAUGAAGGGUAGAGAUGUGAAUAGAAAUUCAGAAUAAACAUGUUACUUAC
Molecule: long non-coding RNA, 473 nt
Organism: Magnolia sinica
Lineage: Eukaryota; Viridiplantae; Streptophyta; Magnoliopsida; Magnoliales; Magnoliaceae
Exons: 3
Source: RefSeq, a predicted model, not a curated record